Molecule: long non-coding RNA, 1346 nt
Filed under: Calidris pugnax (ruff)
Lineage: Eukaryota; Metazoa; Chordata; Aves; Charadriiformes; Scolopacidae
Description: lncRNA (ENSCPUG00000008115.1)
Source: RNAcentral
GUAUCUUCUGGCAGGGCACCACAGUGGUGCUCACAGGAGCAGCCCUGGAGAUGAUCUGCACUUACUGGCUGUGAGGAGGCUGGUGGACAUCGGGACAUGCUCCCUGCAGACAGCCCUGUUCUACAUUUGCUCUUGUGGAAGGCAGCCCCUGCUACGGGCAGAGCAAGAGCAGCACAAAGCGCUGCCGAUGGUCCCUUCAGACAUCCUGAGGGAGGGCAAGAGAGUGGCCACAGCAUCAACGGGGAACUUUUCCAAACCUAGGAGCAGAGGCGUACUGGAAGGAGAAGAGCCUUAACAUAACAGGAGGGAGUGGGGGUGAUGGGAGAACAGGAGGCUGCCGGACUGCAAGGAGCAAGGUUCAGAGGAUGUGUCCUCGGCCAGGACCCGCGUGCUGAGAGCUCGCUGAGGCUGCGCUAGCCAGGCUGGCAGUGACUGCGAUGCCCGCUGUGCCGCCCUGGGUGACAGAAGAUUUGUGCCUGGGCCACUCGCAGACACCGCCUGAAGCACUGCGGGUGCCAGCAGAAAGCUACAUCUUCAAGGAGUGCCGCUUGAUGUUAUGGCCACUGGCUGUGUCCUCAAACCACAACCCAGAACAUUUCCAGUUCCAGAGCCUGGCCUCCUUCUACAAGGUCUCCAGAGCCAGGGCUGUGGUGGCCAGGGCUGUUCCUUGGUGGUGCCAAGCUGGUGAAAAGCCAUCACCCUGCCCUACAGACACCCUAGAGGUCGGCUGUGACCAUGGGGGACACGAGCCACGAAGUCACCCCAUCUCAGGGCCACCCAACACUGGUACUGUGGAGUCUGCCGGGGAUGACGGUCAGUCUCAGGGUCAGACACUCACCGAGGGUCCCUCACAAGCCCCGUUGACCACGGCCUUUGUCUUCAUCAGGGCACCUUCCUGACGCACCUCCACGGCCAUCACUGGGAGAGCCAUCCAGCGCCACAGCAUUUUUAUUUCUUUCUUUAUUUUUAUGUUUGCACUGGCAUGGUAUGGUUUCCAGGUAACCAGACGGGUGACAAAGGCAGGCUGUGGAGCCUGAACCAGGACCACCCUCGGGACUGUGGCCGGGGAGGGUUUGGGUGCCUGCACACCCCGAUCCCCACCAGGCUGUGACUGCGUCCUGCGUGGGGAGGGCGAACCGCCAGCUCAUGGAGCUGCAGCCCCCGAGCAGCGCCCGUGCAGAACACCCUGCCCUCAAAAUAACGUCCUGGGUGCAGCCGGGGAAGGUGAAUGCAGUAUUUUUAUUUAUUCUCCUUGGGUGCACACAUGGCAAUCACCCAUGCAGCAUGAUCCAGGAUGUUGAAAACCAUUUCAUUAUGUUCUAUAAAUAAAGGACUGAUGUGGUUCA